Molecule: transfer RNA, 73 nt
Filed under: Pseudolysinimonas yzui
Lineage: Bacteria; Bacillati; Actinomycetota; Actinomycetes; Micrococcales; Microbacteriaceae
Description: tRNA-Gln
Rfam family: tRNA
About the family: Transfer RNA (tRNA) molecules are approximately 80 nucleotides in length.
Source: RNAcentral
UCCGCCUUGGUGUAACGGCAGCACGACGGCCUUUGGAGCCGUUAGGUCCAGGUUCGAAUCCUGGGGGCGGAGC